Long non-coding RNA from Acipenser ruthenus (sterlet), 436 nucleotides. RefSeq lists it as uncharacterized. The record is from RefSeq and is a predicted model, not a curated record. The transcript is spliced from 3 exons. Lineage: Eukaryota; Metazoa; Chordata; Actinopteri; Acipenseriformes; Acipenseridae.
AGCGGCACCUUUCUGUAAGGUAGACACUGACCCUAUCGCUGUUUCAAAGGUUAAGUCGGAUUGAAUUUCCUUUUACAGGAGACUGGGAAAGCACGUGACGACCAUCACUCCAGCAGCUGCAGCGAUCCCUGACUGAGACUGCAGAAAGUGACCCGCUAUCGAAACCCACAGCAGCCAGAGCCAGGUGUGUCUGGUCCACGGUUAUCCACUGGUUGCAUUUCCUUUGGUAUCUUGGACAAGCAGCUGAAAGUGUUUCUGGCAGCUUGAGGAAAUUGUGGAUUUCAGGCCGCACCCAGGACUCUGCCCUCCACGGGACAGACAGACGAGCUGUGGAGGGCUGUGCUUCCAUUUCCAUCUCAUACAACUCCAUCCCGAGCUGGAAAUGAGCGCUGCCUUUCACUGUAAAGCACCAAGAAUCCGGAGAAAAGCACUGCAA